Molecule: ribosomal RNA, 923 nt
Filed under: Phomatodes cf. nebulosa JZG-2008
Lineage: Eukaryota; Fungi; Ascomycota; Dothideomycetes; Pleosporales; Didymellaceae
Description: eukaryotic LSU rRNA
Rfam family: Eukaryotic large subunit ribosomal RNA
Source: RNAcentral
UUUGACCUCGGAUCAGGUAGGGAUACCCGCUGAACUUAAGCAUAUCAAUAAGCGGAGGAAAAGAAACCAACAGGGAUUGCCCUAGUAACGGCGAGUGAAGCGGCAACAGCUCAAAUUUGAAAUCUGGCUCUUUCAGGGUCCGAGUUGUAAUUUGUAGAGGGUGCUUUGGCGUCGGCCGUGGUCUAAGUUCCUUGGAACAGGACGUCACAGAGGGUGAGAACCCCGUACGUGGCCGCUGGCCUUCGCCGUGUAAAGCCCCUUCGACGAGUCGAGUUGUUUGGGAAUGCAGCUCUAAAUGGGAGGUAAAUUUCUUCUAAAGCUAAAUAUUGGCCAGAGACCGAUAGCGCACAAGUAGAGUGAUCGAAAGAUGAAAAGCACUUUGGAAAGAGAGUCAAAAAGCACGUGAAAUUGUUGAAAGGGAAGCGCUUGCAGCCAGACUUGCCUGUAGUUGCUCAUCCGAGCUUUUGUUCGGUGCACUCUUCUGCGGGCAGGCCAGCAUCAGUUCGGGCGGUCGGAUAAAGGUCUCGGGAAUGUGGCUCCUCUCGGGGAGUGUUAUAGCCCGGGGCGUCAUGCGACCAGUCUGGACUGAGGUCCGCGCAUCUGCUAGGAUGCUGGCGUAAUGGCUGUAAGCGGCCCGUCUUGAAACACGGACCAAGGAGUCUAACAUCUAUGCGAGUGUUUGGGUGUCAAGCCCGGGCGCGUAAUGAAAGUGAACGGAGGUGGGAACCCCUCGGGGUGCACCAUCGACCGAUCCUGAUGUCUUCGGAUGGAUUUGAGUAAGAGCAUAGCUGUUGGGACCCGAAAGAUGGUGAACUAUGCCUGAAUAGGGUGAAGCCAGAGGAAACUCUGGUGGAGGCUCGCAGCGGUUCUGACGUGCAAAUCGAUCGUCAAAUUUGGGCAUAGGGGCGAAAGACUAAUCGAAC